This 377-nucleotide unclassified non-coding RNA is filed under the name uncultured Gammaproteobacteria bacterium. Its description in RNAcentral is "contains 16S-23S intergenic spacer region". Lineage: Bacteria; Pseudomonadati; Pseudomonadota; Gammaproteobacteria. The record is from RNAcentral.
UCCGGUUUGUCACCGGCAGUCUCAUUAAAGUGCCCAACUUAAUGAUGGCAAUUAAUGACAAGGGUUGCGCUCGUUGCGGGACUUAACCCAACAUCUCACGACACGAGCUGACGACAGCCAUGCAGCACCUGUGUAUACAUUCUCUUGCGAGCACUCCCAUAUCUCUACAGGAUCUGUACCAUGUCAAGGGUAGGUAAGGUUUUUCGCGUUGCAUCGAAUUAAUCCACAUCAUCCACCGCUUGUGCGGGUCCCCGUCAAUUCCUUUGAGUUUUAAUCUUGCGACCGUACUCCCCAGGCGGUCAACUUCACGCGUUAGCUGCGUUACCAAGACAAUUAAGUCCCGACAACUAGUUGACAUCGUUUAGGGCGUGGACUAC